This 890-nucleotide ribosomal RNA is filed under the name uncultured bacterium. Its description in RNAcentral is "bacterial SSU rRNA". It matches the Rfam family "Bacterial small subunit ribosomal RNA", at positions 28 to 896 of the family's 1533-position model. The record is from RNAcentral.
AGCGAACGCUGGCGGCGUGCUUAACACAUGCAAGUCGAACGUGAAAAGGGGCAACCCUGAGUAAAGUGGCGUACGGGUGAGUAACGCGUAGGUAAUCUACCCUAGAGUCUGGAAUAACCGGCCGAAAGGCUGGCUAAUACUGGAUAGAGCGAUGGAAUCGGUAAUUCGGUUUUUCGGGAAAGGGAGCUCGCAAGAGCCCUCGCUUUAGGAUGAGCCUGCGUCUCAUUAGCUAGUUGGUGGGGUAAUGGCUCACCAAGGCUUUGAUGGGUAGCUGGUCUGAGAGGAUGAUCAGCCACACUGGAACUGAAACACGGUCCAGACUCCUACGGGAGGCAGCAGUGGGGAAUCUUGCGCAAUGGACGAAAGUCUGACGCAGCAACGCCGCGUGAGUGAAGAAGGCCUUCGGGUUGUAAAGCUCUGUCGUGCGGGACGAACAUCCAAACAGUUAAGAGCUGGUUGGAUUGACGGUACCGCAAAAGGAAGCACCGGCUAACUUCGUGCCAGCAGCCGCGGUAAUACGAGGGGUGCAAGCGUUGCUCGGAAUCAUUGGGCGUAAAGGGUAGGUAGGUGGUCUCAUUUGUCUGGGGUGAAAGCCUUGGGCUUAACUCAAGAAGUGCCCCGGAAACGGUGAGACUAGAGUGCUGGAGAGGGUCGUGGAAUUCCCGGUGUAGCGGUGAAAUGCGUAGAGAUCGGGAGGAACACCAGAGGCGAAGGCGGCGACCUGGACAGCUACUGACACUCAACUACGAAAGCGUGGGGAGCAAACAGGAUUAGAUACCCUGGUAGUCCACGCCGUAAACGAUGGGUACUAGGCUUGGCGGGUCUUGACCCCUGCUGAGCCGGCGCUAACGCAAUAAGUACCCCGCCUGGGAAGUACGGUCGCAAGACUA